This 87-nucleotide transfer RNA is filed under the name Erysipelotrichaceae bacterium. RNAcentral describes it as "tRNA-Leu". It matches the Rfam family "tRNA". Rfam says of the family: Transfer RNA (tRNA) molecules are approximately 80 nucleotides in length. The record is from RNAcentral. Lineage: Bacteria; Bacillati; Bacillota; Erysipelotrichia; Erysipelotrichales; Erysipelotrichaceae.
GGGGUUGUGGCGGAAUCGGUAGACGCAUCGGACUUAAAAUCCGGUGAGGGCAACCUCGUAUGGGUUCAAGUCCCAUCAGCCCCACCA